UAAACGACUCUCGGCAACGGAUAUCUCGGCUCUCGCAUCGAUGAAGAACGUAGCGAAAUGCGAUACUUGGUGUGAAUUGCAGAAUCCCGUGAACCAUCGAGUUUUUGAACGCAAGUUGCGCCCGAAGCCUUCGGCUGAGGGCACGUCUGCCUGGGCGUCACGC
This 163-nucleotide ribosomal RNA is filed under the name Silene nutans subsp. nutans. Its description in RNAcentral is "5.8S ribosomal RNA". It matches the Rfam family "5.8S ribosomal RNA". From Rfam's summary of the family: 5.8S ribosomal RNA (5.8S rRNA) is a component of the large subunit of the eukaryotic ribosome. Lineage: Eukaryota; Viridiplantae; Streptophyta; Magnoliopsida; Caryophyllales; Caryophyllaceae. The record is from RNAcentral.